GACGUAGGGGGCCAGCGUUGUUCGGAAUUACUGGGUGUAAAGGGUUCGUAGGCGGUGUGGCAAGUUGGGAGUGAAAUCUCUGGGCUCAACCCAGAGGCUGCUUCCAAAACUGCUGUGCUUGAGUGUGAGAGAGGCUCGUGGAAUUGCAGGUGCAGCGGUGAAAUGCGUAGAUAUCUGCAGGAACACCCGUGGCGAAAGCGGCGAGCUGGAUCACUACUGACGCUGAGGAACGAAAGCUAGGGGAGCAAACAGG
RNAcentral lists this ribosomal RNA (253 nucleotides) under uncultured bacterium. Its description in RNAcentral is "partial 16S ribosomal RNA". It matches the Rfam family "Bacterial small subunit ribosomal RNA", at positions 524 to 776 of the family's 1533-position model. The record is from RNAcentral.